GCAAAUUCUCUUCUCUUGAGUCCGACCACAGUUCCUCCACCGACACCAAGCU
Molecule: small RNA, 52 nt
Filed under: Arabidopsis thaliana (thale cress)
Lineage: Eukaryota; Viridiplantae; Streptophyta; Magnoliopsida; Brassicales; Brassicaceae
Description: ATSL272450
Source: RNAcentral